Molecule: transfer RNA, 73 nt
Filed under: Clavispora lusitaniae ATCC 42720
Lineage: Eukaryota; Fungi; Ascomycota; Pichiomycetes; Serinales; Metschnikowiaceae
Description: tRNA-Ile (GAT) (tRNA-Ile-GAT-1-1)
Rfam family: tRNA
About the family: Transfer RNA (tRNA) molecules are approximately 80 nucleotides in length. Their secondary structure includes four short double-helical elements and three loops (D, anti-codon, and T loops).
Source: Rfam by way of RNAcentral
UAGUCUAUAUCUCAACGGUAGAGAGAUCGAUUGAUAAUCCGAUAGAUGUAAGGUUCGAUUCUUACUAGACUAA